GAUGAAGAACGUAGCAAAAUGCGAUAAGUAAUGUGAAUUGCAGAAUUCAGUGAAUCAUCGAAUCUUUGAGCGCACAUUGCGCCCGCCAGUAUUCUGGCGGGCAUGCCUGUUCGAGCGUCAUUUCAACCCUCAAGCCCCCGGGUUUGGUGUUGGGGAUCGGGCUGUACUCCAGCCCGGCCCCGAAAUCUAGUGGCGGUCUCGCUGCAGCCUCCAUUGCGUAGUAGCUAACACCUCGCAACUGGAACGCGGCGCGGCCAAGCCGUUAAACCCCCAACUUCUGAAUGUUGACCUCGGAUCAGGUAGGAAUACCCGCUGAACUUAAGCAUAUCAAUAAGCGGAGGA
RNAcentral lists this unclassified non-coding RNA (342 nucleotides) under soil metagenome. Its description in RNAcentral is "partial contains 5.8S ribosomal RNA, internal transcribed spacer 2, and large subunit ribosomal RNA". The stretch from base 1 to 120 matches the Rfam family "5.8S ribosomal RNA", at positions 35 to 154 of the family's 154-position model. The record is from RNAcentral.